RNAcentral lists this ribosomal RNA (253 nucleotides) under uncultured prokaryote. Its description in RNAcentral is "partial 16S ribosomal RNA". It matches the Rfam family "Bacterial small subunit ribosomal RNA", at positions 524 to 776 of the family's 1533-position model. The record is from RNAcentral.
GACGAACCGUGCGAACGUUGUUCGGAUUCACUGGGCUUAAAGGGCGCGUAGGCGGGCCACCAAGUCAGGGGUGAAAUCUUUCAGCUCAACUGGAAAAGUGCCUUUGAUACUGGUGGCCUCGAGGGAGGUAGGGGCGUGCGGAACUUCCGGUGUAGCAGUGAAAUGCGUAGAUAUGCGGAGGAACACCGAUGGCGAAGGCAAUCCCCUGGGCCUGCACUGACGCUCAUGCACGAAAGCGUGGGGAGCAAACAGG